Molecule: non-coding RNA, 28 nt
Filed under: Homo sapiens (human)
Lineage: Eukaryota; Metazoa; Chordata; Mammalia; Primates; Hominidae
Source: RNAcentral
UGGUGUAUCAGGUGGACAAAUUGACUGA